ACUAUUUAAUGUUUAUUUGAAUAAUUUAUUGGAUCUAUAUAGUUACUAUUAUCAAUCUGUAAAUAUUUUACUAGUUACUAAAGAAAGUGUAGUCGUUGAUCAAAUCUUGUGAUCCUUUGGUCAGAGCCGACUGCAAUUUGGUUAGGGCUGACUGAGACCUUAAAGUUUUGAAAAAAAAAUCUCAAAAAAAAAAUCAAUUUAAUUAUAAAUAUAUAAAAUGACAUGUAACUUAAAUUAAUUCUUGUAAUGUAGAAAAUAAAUUAUGUUUCCUUCCAGAAAAUCAUAGACGGCUAAUCAACAAUAGACAAACACAUAUGCACACUGUGUGGCAGGUGUCUCUUAUUGGGACAUGUUCGAAAAGCAAACUGGCCUGUUGCAUAGUAUCUAGCUAUUUAGCCACACGCUAAACCAUACAACUAGUGAAAUCCAUCUUCAAGAGGCAGCAGCAGAAGAGAAAUAAAUAUGGAUACGAUGCAGAUAGAAAGAGAAUCAGCAUGCCAUUUCAUAGAACAAGUAAUGAAAGCUUUCUCCAAAUGCCUAGGUCUUGAUCCAUCAUCAGCUGAAAAUAUUCAAUACCGUGUUGUUGAGAAUAAUGGUGAAGUAACAUCAUCCAUAACAUCACGAGCCUUUAAAAGGCCUCCAAAACCUCCUUUGAGCGCAGGACGUGGACCUCAAAUCAAUCUUUCCUCCUCUUAAAAGUUAUACAACAACACUAUAGGUCAACUUCAGUAGCACUGAAUAUGGAGAAUAAAAUCAGAGACUUCAUAUUGUUAGGUGGAGCACGUUCACGGUUUGAGGGUUGAGACAUCAUUUGAGGCUUAUGUAACUGUACUACUGUAUAAAUUGUUAUGUUCUUUAGAACAGACACAGAGGUGUUAAACCUUAUCUAAUGUUUUGAUUUUGUAGUUA
Molecule: long non-coding RNA, 909 nt
Organism: Lathyrus oleraceus (garden pea)
Lineage: Eukaryota; Viridiplantae; Streptophyta; Magnoliopsida; Fabales; Fabaceae
Exons: 2
Source: RefSeq, a predicted model, not a curated record